GAUGAACGCUGGCGGCGUGCCUAAUACAUGCAAGUCGAGCGAACGGACGAGAAGCUUGCUUCUCUGAUGUUAGCGGCGGACGGGUGAGUAACACGUGGAUAACCUACCUAUAAGACUGGGAUAACUUCGGGAAACCGUAGCUAAUACCGGAUAAUAUUUUGAACCGCAUGGUUCAAAAGUGAAAGACGGUCUUGCUGUCACUUAUCGAUGGAUCCGCGCUGCAUUAGCUAGUUGGUAAGGUAACGGCUUACCAAGGCAACGAUGCAUAGCCGACCUGAGAGGGUGAUCGGCCACACUGGAACUGAGACACGGUCCAGACUCCUACGGGAGGCAGCAGUAGGGAAUCUUCCGCAAUGGGCGAAAGCCUGACGGAGCAACGCCGCGUGAGUGAUGAAGGUCUUCGGAUCGUAAAACUCUGUUAUUAGGGAAGAACAUAUAUGUAAGUAACUGCGCACAUCUUGACGGUACCUAAUCAGAAAGCCACGGCUAACUACGUG
This 497-nucleotide ribosomal RNA is filed under the name uncultured bacterium. RNAcentral's name for it is "partial 16S ribosomal RNA". It matches the Rfam family "Bacterial small subunit ribosomal RNA", at positions 28 to 507 of the family's 1533-position model. The record is from RNAcentral.